Myotis davidii is the source of this 75-nucleotide non-coding RNA. Lineage: Eukaryota; Metazoa; Chordata; Mammalia; Chiroptera; Vespertilionidae. The record is from Rfam.
GGUGGUUCUCCGGUGAUGCACCCCGGAAUCGGGCUCCCUCCUCUCUGGUUCUGGCUGCGUCACCGGAGAACCACA